This 812-nucleotide ribosomal RNA is filed under the name uncultured bacterium. RNAcentral's name for it is "bacterial SSU rRNA". It matches the Rfam family "Bacterial small subunit ribosomal RNA", at positions 636 to 1447 of the family's 1533-position model. The record is from RNAcentral.
UNUGACUUGAGUGCAGAAGGGGAGAGUGGAAUUCCAUGUGUAGCGGUGAAAUGCGUAGAUAUAUGGAGGAACACCAGUGGCGAAAGCGGCUCUCUGGUCUGUCACUGACGCUGAGGCUCGAAAGCGUGGGUAGCGAACAGGAUUAGAUACCCUGGUAGUCCACGCCGUAAACGAUGAGUGCUAGGUGUUAGGCCCUUUCCGGGGCUUAGUGCUGGAGCUAACGCAAUAAGCACUCCGCCUGGGGAGUACGACCGCAAGGUUGAAACUCAGAGGAAUUGACGGGGGCCCGCACAAGCGGUGGAGCAUGUGGUUUAAUUCGAAGCAACGCGAAGAACCUUACCAGGUCUUGACAUCCCGAUGCUAUUCUUAGAGAUAGGAAGUUACUUCGGUACAUCGGAGACAGGUGGUGCAUGGUUGUCGUCAGCUCGUGUCGUGAGAUGUUGGGUUAAGUCCCGCAACGAGCGCAACCCUUAUUGUUAGUUGCCAUCAUUAAGUUGGGCACUCUAGCGAGACUGCCGGUAAUAAACCGGAGGAAGGUGGGGAUGACGUCAAAUCAUCAUGCCCCUUAUGACCUGGGCUACACACGUGCUACAAUGGUCGGUACAACGAGUUGCGAGCCGGUGACGGCAAGCUAAUCUCUGAAAGCCGAUCUCAGUUCGGAUUGGAGGCUGCAACUCGCCUCCAUGAAGUCGGAAUCGCUAGUAAUCGCGGAUCAGCACGCCGCGGUGAAUACGUUCCCGGGCCUUGUACACACCGCCCGUCACACCACGAGAGUUUGUAACACCCGAAGUCGGUGAGGUANCCUUUUAGGG